This 185-nucleotide unclassified non-coding RNA is filed under the name Dominikia sp. Its description in RNAcentral is "partial internal transcribed spacer region". The stretch from base 1 to 46 matches the Rfam family "Eukaryotic small subunit ribosomal RNA", at positions 1786 to 1831 of the family's 1831-position model. The record is from RNAcentral. Lineage: Eukaryota; Fungi; Glomeromycota; Glomeromycetes; Glomerales; Glomeraceae.
AAGUCGUAACAAGGUUUCCGUAGGUGAACCUGCGGAAGGAUCAUUAAUGAUUUGGCGAACCGAGCGUUAGCGAGGUUUUGCGAUCAACUUGUAUUUAAAACCCAACUCUUUAUAAUAUUAUUUAUACAUAAUUUUUAAUGAUAAAAAUUAAAAGAUCACUUUCAACAACGGAUCUCUUGGCUCUC